UUCCAUCCACUGUUAUUCGAC
RNAcentral lists this non-coding RNA (21 nucleotides) under Caenorhabditis elegans. Lineage: Eukaryota; Metazoa; Nematoda; Chromadorea; Rhabditida; Rhabditidae. The record is from RNAcentral.